CCCCCCCCCUCCCCCUCCCUCCCUCCCUCCCUCCCUCCCUCCCUCUCUGCUUGACAUCGUUCAACCUUUUCUUCGCGAAUCUGUCAGUCCUUCCCUACAUUCCCAGUCAUCUGCUCUGCGUGAAGCCCCCCCUGCAGCAUUCAGUCGUCAAUUCCAACAAUGGCCGAAUACACAUCUCCAAGCCGAGCCCCUACCAGUAGCUUUUGAUCCUGGAGAUUUGAUCAUGAAACCUUCAUUAAUACCAUCACAGAGACAAAAUCCGCAAUUUUUGACUGGUUCAUAGAGAGUACUAAUUUUUACUAAUGUAAAGAGAACAAUACCCAAAACCACUUGAAACUCUACUUUUCUUAUAGUUCUAACCUCGCCCAAUAUUGCUAUUCCAAGCUUGCAGCUCGAGAACCCUCAUGUUCCAUAGGCUUCCCGAUCGAGGACUGACGUCUUCCUCAUCUCUUGUACUUUGCAGCCAUGAGCUUGACUCCGUAAUCCACUAAUAAUCAUGCAAGGCACCCAAGCAUAGAGAUACGAAUAUUUAUAGGAUAUUUGGUACUUCAAAUUUGAAAAAAAAAAACUUAUACAUUAUCAAGGAAACCUUUUCAUUUUUCAAAAAAAAUCUUUAAUUGUAUAUCAAUCCAUACGAAUAAUAUGGACAAAUGUUCAAGAUGGAUUGAACAUAAUACGAAUAAAAUGUAGUAAAUGUUCAUUUAAUUGGAAUCAAAAGGUAAACUAAACGUAGAGCUGACUGUUUAUAAUUUGAGCGCAACUACGAUCAUGUUCUCAGCCUUUAUAUAUUAUAAAUUGAUUGAUUGAUUGCGUCGAGUUCAUGGCUCCACCCAUCUAUUAUAUUCUUCUUCUCCGUUGCAUGGGUUGUUCUGAUUCUGUUGACAUUCAAUAAGAAACAAUAGCUUUGAUGUAUGGAGAGGCCAACACCUCCAAUCUCGUUGGUGGCACUGUCCAAUUCAUGACUGAGUCAAAGAAAAAUAACCAAACCUUUGCCUCUAGGCUCUUGCAGCGCGUAUAAGGAAUUAAUUCUCAAGAAAUUAUUGAUCUUGCUGCCUUUUGUAUAUAGAGCUACUUGUGACAACUUUACAUUAAUGGCUGAUUAUGUUUCAAAAAAAAAAAAGAAAAUCCAAUCAUGUAUUUACAUUAAGACUAAUAUGGAGCAAUGAAGAUAAGAAGAUGAGGAUUGUAAGACCAAGAUGAAUCCUCACAAUUUCUUGUUUUCUCCAAGUCAAAGAAGAGAGAGAAGAGAGAUAAGGUUUUUUUUUUUUACUUUUUUAUUUGAAAAAGAUGAUGCAUUUAAGAUUCAAAUAUAUGGGUAAAUCGGGUGUGAAUUGGAAUUAAUUUUGGUUGGAUUAGUUCAAACAGAAAAAAUCAUAUAUAGUAAUUUGGUCUAUUAUGGACCCUACUUACUAGUACACAUCGGCUUUAUUUAACAGAAAAAGUUACGGAAGGACUGAAACAAAAAAGUUAACAAAGGAAUAUGACGCAAACAGAAAAAAAAAUAAGAAAAAUGAUAAAAGAGAAAAGUCACCAAAGAUAUAGGACUAAAAUUAUAUUUUUUCCAAUUAAUAAAUCACGAUUGACGUUUCCUUUUCCUAUGGUUUGUUAGGGAUGAAUAGUGGUUGUCUUUAAUUAUUUUGAGUACCACUCAACUAAUUAAAAAGACAAUGAUAUUAAUUAAUAUAUUAGAUUCAUCCGGAUCACUAGCUAGCUUCAUGUUUUAAACUAGCAAAAAUUGCUUUCCAUUACAAUCAUUGAUUAGGAGUUGAAAUUAAUUAGAGAACAAGUUGCUUUCCAAAGCCGCAUGCAGAGAGCUGACUUCAGCGGAGUUCAGCAUUUCAAAAGUUAAAAAAAAAAAACAAUUCGACUUCGAUAAAUAAUAGCAUAGAUUCG
Punica granatum (pomegranate) is the source of this 1893-nucleotide non-coding RNA. NCBI's taxonomy places the organism in Eukaryota, Viridiplantae, Streptophyta, Magnoliopsida, Myrtales, Lythraceae. The record is from RefSeq and is a predicted model, not a curated record.